This 72-nucleotide transfer RNA is filed under the name Ovis aries (sheep). It matches the Rfam family "tRNA". Rfam says of the family: Transfer RNA (tRNA) molecules are approximately 80 nucleotides in length. Their secondary structure includes four short double-helical elements and three loops (D, anti-codon, and T loops). The record is from Rfam by way of RNAcentral. Lineage: Eukaryota; Metazoa; Chordata; Mammalia; Artiodactyla; Bovidae.
UCCCUAGUGGCUCAAAUGGUAAAGCGUCUGCCUACGGUGCGGGAGACCCGGGUUCAAUCCCUGGAUCGGGAA